This 30-nucleotide small nuclear RNA is filed under the name Arabidopsis thaliana (thale cress). RNAcentral's name for it is "snRNA_03733". Lineage: Eukaryota; Viridiplantae; Streptophyta; Magnoliopsida; Brassicales; Brassicaceae. The record is from RNAcentral.
CGCGGAUUACGGUGGCGGCCUAAGCCCGGG